Mobula hypostoma (lesser devil ray) is the source of this 3309-nucleotide long non-coding RNA. RefSeq lists it as uncharacterized. The transcript has 3 exons. Lineage: Eukaryota; Metazoa; Chordata; Chondrichthyes; Myliobatiformes; Myliobatidae. The record is from RefSeq and is a predicted model, not a curated record.
CGUGGAACCUGAUGUUUUGAUUUUGGAAAAUAAUGUCAAAGAACAGCAGAUAAGUGGUCAGAGUCAGAGGUUGAGUGAGCAGAACAGGAGCUUUGGAGCCUGUCCACCUGAACCGUGAGCGAAGUUCGAUUGAUCUGAGCACCGGGCCAAUCUGGAAAGGUCGGAUACAGGCCAGAAUGUGGUGGCAGGGUCCAGGCCCAGAGUGUAUCGAAGCAACUGGGCCCAGGUCCUAGUGCAAGAAAUAACCCAACAUUUGGACAAUUUAAGUGCCGGGCCGAAUGUAUUGAAAAGGCAGUGUGUCGGAAGCGGAGGUGAAGCGUUCUUGCAGUAUCUCUGGACGGCCUGGUGUAUGAGUUGUUGGACGCUGAGGGUCCCGUCACCACAAGGCACGACGAUGGCUGUGCGACCGAAUUGCACCGUCACCUUCAUGCCGACAGCUUGCGACAGAACCGAGGGAAGCACAGGUGAACGACUGACUGCCGCCGCACCUGUAUACCUAGGCGCGAAGGGCGGCUCGCCAAGGAGAUUGGGCUCGGGCCAAACAACUCAGGAUGCUGGCAAUUCUUCUCUCAACUCCAGUUAAAGACUCCUCAUCCGCAGACAAUGGAAAUACAGGUGCAAGCAGGUUAGGUGAAACAAGUAUUUUUGUAACAGCGAUGAAAAUUAAUUGAAUAAAUUCAAAAUGUUUAAGCCCUCCCCUUUCUCGAGUUUCCGUUUAGACCGUGUAUGGAGAUGAUUGUACUGUGUAUGGGGGGGGGGGAAUCUAGUCAAGAUCGAAAUGAAACUUCCUGGGAGUCCAUAUAGGAUUUGAAUCGUUGUUAUGUUAUCUCUGUUACAGGUAUUGCUUCUCUGCCACCAUAUACAAUGCAGGUGCUUGGUAUAGGAAGUCUGUUGCCCAACUCCCUGGUCCACCCACACGGCCGGAAGGAGCCGACUUCCUCUCCCAGGUGAAACAAGGCGGGAGAGUGGGAAUAGGAUCCGGGCAGGAAGAUGGGGGAAAAGUUUCUCUGGCUGCCGUCAAAUCCCAAGUCCUUCAAAGCAGCUGAUCGUUCAACUGAUGUCAAUUAGACCCGAGCGCUGGGCCCGAGUGGAAUCAUCAGACACAGUGGGUUAGCUGGAUACUCUCUCAUCUCCAACGCAUAAGGCUGCUGGAUUGUGUUUUACUGCAGAGGCUCGAACACAAAAAGGCAUGCUGCACUAUCAACAGUGAUGUCAUUACAUGGUUUCCACUUCUCCAUUAGCUGGAUGCAAAACCAAUUAUGGGAAGAGGAGUUUUUGCUGAUUUCUUGUUCAAUAUCCCCUUGUCACAAUAUUAAAAAAAGAUGAUGUGCUCAUUGCUGAUGCAGAAACGUGUAUACUUGUGGUUACCUCAAGAUACCGCAUAAAGCUCAUGGUCUACCAGGCACCGUUGAUCCCUGCCCUCCAAUAUGCUUCUGAGACCAGAACUGUCUACAUCUGGCAGCUUAAAGCACUGGAAUAUACAUGGUGUCUGCAAAAUCUUUCAAGUACACGAGUAGGAAAGGAGAACCAACAUCUCCCAGAUCAACAUUCCCCUGCAGUAAAGCCUUUGUUGCUCUCUGUCAGCUAACCAGGCUACCCGUCCUCCCUAAAACCAGACUGAUGAAGAACAUUCUUGCAGGAGAUCACCAGAUGAACGGUGAAAAGGAUUCAAGAUUGUGCUGAAUGCGGCCAUGAAGAGUACAAUGAACCCUCUUGACUCCCUUGAAUCCCCAGCUCUUGGACAGUUAAAGUGAAGAGGGAGCAUUUGGGGUGGUAUUGAGAACCUUGAGGCUGCAUAUUGGAAACACGCAGAAGCCUUCAGCAGAUGGUGCUCGAAAUAGAGCAUCUCAGAAAACUGUCCAUCUGCUUAACCUAUCAGCUAACAACCACCUCAAGGCUCUGCAAUUUCCAUAUUGGCUUCAUUAGCCUCAGGGACAGAGAAGAAGAAGAAGAAGGUGACAAAGUACUUCACUGUCUCGAAGGAUAUGGUCAAACCAAUAUUCAGCAUCCUGGGGUGAAGUCUGAAAUUGGAUGCCCCAUGUCUGCAGGUCUGAGAGCCUGGGGACAAGGAGUGGAAGUCAGGAGGCAGCCUGUCCUGAGGUGGAAAGGGGCUUGUUCUGCUAUUAUUGUCUUGUCUUGUUUUGUUGUUGUUGUUGUUGUUUGUUGUGGACAUGCUAUAUUGGUGCUGGUAUGUGCAAUGACACUUACAGGCUGCCCCGAGCACAUCCUCAGAGGUGCUGGUUGUUAACGCAAGCGAUGCAUUUCAUUGUAUGCUUUGUUGUGCGCGUGAUAAAUAAUCCGAAUCUCCUGAAGUUAUGCAAGUUGCUACAGAAAUGAAAAUUCUUUCCUUUCACUGAGCUUCUCAUUCCCCAGUGGCCUGACAAGUUUAUAAAGCUUUAUUACAGAACGUUAGUACUCAUGCAUAUUUGUGAUGUCUUCCUUUAGCCAUUAUGGUGGUAAAUAUAUUCAUUGUAAUCUUACAGAUAAAAGGCUUCAACAGGAAUUAUGCCUGGAAAGGGGAACAGACUUAUCAUUACAAUAGAUAUUACACUAUUUUUAAACAUUUUUACUCUAGUUUCCUUAACAGUAAUUAUUUGUCUCUUGAUUAAAGAAACACCGGGUGGAAAACAGUAAAUGAGUACCGAGUAUGAUUGCCUUCCUGAAACAGGAAAAGGCUAUUUUAGCAACUCAACUUGCUGAUCCAUACCUGAUCUCUAUUUUUCCCUUUCUUUCCAGUCCCAAUGAAGGGUCUUGGCUCAAACGUACUGCUGCUGCAAAUUAACAAAUUUCAUGACAAAUGCCAGUGAUAUAACCUGAUUCUGAUUCUGUCUGUUCCUCUCCAUCGAUGAUGCCUGACCUACAGAGUUCCCCCAGCAUUUUGUGUGUUUUGCUCUGGAUUUCCAGCAUCUGUGAUUAACCCCCUUGAUUUAAUUUGUGUGGGCACGUGGCCAAGUGGUUAAGGCAUUCGACUAGCGACCUGAAGGUCGUGAGUUCGAGCCCCAGCUGAGGCAACGUGUUGUGUCCUUGAGCAAGGCACUUAACCACACAGUGCUCUGCAACGACACCGGUGCCAAGCUGUAUUGGCCCUUGCCCUUCCCUUGGACAACAUCAGUGUCGUGAAGAGGGGAGACUUGCAGCAUGGGCAACAGCCGUCUUCCAUACAACCUUGCCCAGGCCUGUGGCCUGGAGAGUGAAGACUUUCCAGGUGCAGAUCCAAGGUCUCACAAGACUAAUGGAUGCCUUAAUUUAAUUUAAUUUGUACCUCUACACUUACCUAAUGAAGUUCUAGCAACCACACUUCUGAAACUG